This 1800-nucleotide long non-coding RNA is filed under the name Sus scrofa (pig). RNAcentral describes it as "lncRNA (ENSSSCG00035060651.1)". The record is from RNAcentral. Lineage: Eukaryota; Metazoa; Chordata; Mammalia; Artiodactyla; Suidae.
AGCUUCAGGCUGCAGGGGAUGCAGGGGUGGGGGGCGGUGGGGGGGGGGGUGUAGAGUCCAGCUUUCCCUCAGCCCCAUCUAGUGUCCAGAGGCCAGAUCCAUGAGCAGAAGGCCAUUGUAGGAGUUCCCAUCUUGGCUUAGUGGUUAAUGAAUCAGACUAGGGACCAUGAGGUUGUGGGUUCGAUCUCUGGCCUCGCUCAGUGGGUUAAGGAUCCAGCGUUGCUCUUAGCUGUGGUGUGUAGGUUGCAGACGCGCCUCAGAUCCCGCGUUGCUGUGGCUCUGGCAUAGGCCAGCAGCUGCAGCUCCGAUUAGACCCCUAGCCUGGGAACCUCCAUAUGCCACUGGUGCGGCCCUAAAAGGACAAAAAAAAAAAAAAAUAAGUCCAUUGUAGUUUCCACUGUGGUUCCUCUGUGGUCUGUUUCACAAGAAUGGAGGCUGGGACACCAUUGGUUCAGUCCUCAGUGAGCAUCUUCUGGGAACUUGCCAGCCCACGUGCACAAGAUCAAGGUGCCCUCACUUUCACCCGGAUGCAAGAGUGCACUGCAGGAGGGCCACACGGGGACCUAGCUGCACACUCUGAACUGGGUUCCUCUUGGACACCAGGCAUCCUUCUUAGAACUGAGACCUCAACAGUGAACGAGGUGGGAGUGAGAGCUCCAGCAGAAGAAGGCAGGAUACUCCGGUUGACUCAGUCUGCCCCCCACCUAUUCCCAGCCCUGAUGGCCUCAGCCUGCAGCCUGCACUGCCAAAGGCUGAGUAGGUCUCCUGACCCUUCCCCUUCCAGCGUGGUCUCUGCCUGAAGGGCCGCAGGCUGUGGGCAGCUCCCAGCCUCUUCUGUGCCCUUGUGUGGAUGUCACAGCCAGAGCCCUGCCCCUGGAGUCUCUGCCUGGCCCACUCAGCUCGUCUGUAAGAGGUGAGCAUGGAGGAUGUGCUCUCCAGCAUGUUGUCCUCAGCCCCUCACCUGCCUUCUCUACAUCGCACUCAGAUUAGGCCUUUUAUGUCUGAUGGCAUCCACUCUGAGUCCUCCAAGGCUGGACUUCCAUCUCCAUCAUCAUGAUGCACUCGGCACCUAAUGAGGAUACCAGCUUGACACAAGCAUGUGUGCGUGCAUGCCUGCACACACACACACACACACACACAGGAGUCAUCACACACAUGGGACAUUUCACACUUGUCAGUACGGGUCAUUGGAGAGAGGGAAUUUCUGAGGAAUGGUUGAACCACAGGAAAAGGCCAUUAAAAUUGAAAAGUCAUCCUGGGAGGUCUGCCCUGGGUGCUUGGAUGUGGAAUUCUUCUCUUCUGAAUUCAGAAAUUCUCAGGUCCCCCUUUUAAUCUCAGGCUGAAUUCUCCCGGUACAGACCCACCAGAAGGCAGAAUGCAGUUGCCAGUGACAACCUUGGACAUUGGUGAGUGGGCAGGGACCCCAAGAGGUUUGAACCUCCCAAUCUCUCUUGUCCUUUGUCUCCAGGGCAUGUCCAGGCUGCUGUGGUCACCUGUACCAUUUUUCAAGGGGUUGCAAAAGCUGAACUCAACACAGGGCCUUAGUCAGUUUUUUAAAAUUAAAGUAUAAUUGAUUUACAAUGUUUCUUCAAUAUCUGUUGAAUAGCAAAAUAACUUAGUCACACUCUGCGCUGUACAGGAGGGUCCUAUUGCCCAUCCAUUCCAAACAUAAGAGUUUGCAUUAGUCAAUUUGGGUGUAACCUACUGAAGUCAACAUGACCUUGGCCUUUUUUCAUGGAUGUAGGUAAGGCACAUUAAAUUUUUUACUUUGCAAAUGAAAACAGGAAUAGAUUAACAGAA